This is a non-coding RNA of Dipodomys ordii (Ord's kangaroo rat), 46 nucleotides long. The record is from Rfam. NCBI's taxonomy places the organism in Eukaryota, Metazoa, Chordata, Mammalia, Rodentia, Heteromyidae.
CCAUAAGCCUUUUUUAAGGCCAUAACUAUAUUCAAGUAUAUUUUAU